CACCCCUCAAGCUCUGCUUGGUAUUGGGAGUUCGCCUCUGUUUGGGGCGCCCCCGAAAAUCAGCGGCGGUGCAGCUGAUAUCUCUAGCGCAGUGACAUACAUUCUCGCUACGGAUUUUGGGCAAACACCACGCCGAAACCUCUAUUUAUCUUAGCA
Molecule: unclassified non-coding RNA, 156 nt
Filed under: uncultured Lecanorales
Lineage: Eukaryota; Fungi; Ascomycota; Lecanoromycetes
Description: sequence contains ITS2
Source: RNAcentral